This 254-nucleotide ribosomal RNA is filed under the name uncultured bacterium. RNAcentral describes it as "partial 16S ribosomal RNA". It matches the Rfam family "Bacterial small subunit ribosomal RNA", at positions 524 to 776 of the family's 1533-position model. The record is from RNAcentral.
UACGUAGGGUGCGAGCGUUGUCCGGAAUUACUGGGCGUAAAGAGCUCGUAGGUGGUUUGUCGCGUUGUCCGUGAAAACUCACAACUCAAUUGUGGGCGUGCGGGCGAUACGGGCAGACUGGAGUACUGCAGGGGAGACUGGAAUUCCUGGUGUAGCGGUGGAAUGCGCAGAUAUCAGGAGGAACACCGGUGGCGAAGGCGGGUCUCUGGGCAGUAACUGACGCUGAGGAGCGAAAGCGUGGGGGAGCGAACAGG